Long non-coding RNA from Hevea brasiliensis (rubber tree), 609 nucleotides. RefSeq lists it as uncharacterized. The transcript is spliced from 2 exons. NCBI's taxonomy places the organism in Eukaryota, Viridiplantae, Streptophyta, Magnoliopsida, Malpighiales, Euphorbiaceae. The record is from RefSeq and is a predicted model, not a curated record.
UCUGCCUUGCUGCCCAAGUCUACGUGACAUCUGCCUUGCUGCCCAAGCCUACAUGACAUGAUGCCUUUAUAUAUAUAUAUUGUCCUUGCUCUUCCAUUUGUGCAUCUUUGGGCGUAUUUUGUAUCGAUUUGUCUUUGAAAGACUGAUUGGUCUCGUGCUCUAGACUUCUUGAUAUCACCUUAUCAUAUAUUCACUUCUUCGACGAUUGAUCCAGGUUAAUUAGGAGCUGGAAGCGCAUAAGUCUUAUCUUCUCCAAGCUUUCUUGCGCGAUGUCCUGGUAAUGUGAAGAGUAUCAUUGGAUAUGCAUUCUUAAUGGGGCCUGGUGUUUUCUCAUGGGUUUCAAGGAAGCAAGAUAGUUCGAGUCAGAGAAAUCCAAACUAGUUAUGCAGAUGGAUAUAGUUGUAAAGGAAAGUGAAGAAGGUAAUUCUUCCAAGAAAGCUGAGGACUCGAAAUCUAGCUUUGUUGGAUGAGUAAAUUCCUUGGAUGAGACUUGGAUUGACUUGCUUUGAUGUUUUAAGCUUUGCUUUAUUUCAAAAAAUGGCUUGUAACCUAUGCAUCUUUUGUUUUUGUUAAGUAUUUGAUUAUCUAAGGAAUAUCCCACCUUAAAUA